UACGGGGGGGGCAAGCGUUGUCCGGAUUUACUGGGCGUAAAGGGUGCGUAGGCGGGUCUUUAAGUCAGGGGUGAAAUCCUGGAGCUCAACUCCAGAACUGCCUUUGAUACUGAAGAUCUUGAGUUCGGGAGAGGUGAGUGGAACUGCGAGUGUAGAGGUGAAAUUCGUAGAUAUUCACAAGAACACCAGUGGCGAAGGCGGCUCACUGGCCCGAUACUGACGCUGAGGCACGAAAGCGUGGGGAGCAAACAGG
Molecule: ribosomal RNA, 253 nt
Filed under: uncultured bacterium
Lineage: Bacteria
Description: partial 16S ribosomal RNA
Rfam family: Bacterial small subunit ribosomal RNA
Source: RNAcentral